UAACACGUGGGCAACCUGCCUGUAAGACUGGGAUAACUCCGGGAAACCGGGGCUAAUACCGGAUAACUCUUUUCCUCACAUGAGGAAAAGCUGAAAGAUGGUUUCGGCUAUCACUUACAGAUGGGCCCGCGGCGCAUUAGCUAGUUGGUGAGGUAACGGCUCACCAAGGCCACGAUGCGUAGCCGACCUGAGAGGGUGAUCGGCCACACUGGGACUGAGACACGGCCCAGACUCCUACGGGAGGCAGCAGUAGGGAAUCUUCCGCAAUGGACGAAAGUCUGACGGAGCAACGCCGCGUGAGUGAUGAAGGUUUUCGGAUCGUAAAACUCUGUUGUCAGGGAAGAACAAGUACCGGAGUAACUGCCGGUACCUUGACGGUACCUGACCAGAAAGCCACGGCUAACUACGUGCCAGCAGCCGCGGUAAUACGUAGGUGGCAAGCGUUGUCCGGAAUUAUUGGGCGUAAAGCGCGCGCAGGCGGUUCCUUAAGUCUGAUGUGAAAGCCCCCGGCUCAACCGGGGAGGGUCAUUGGAAACUGGGGAACUUGAGUGCAGAAGAGAAGAGUGGAAUUCCACGUGUAGCGGUGAAAUGCGUAGAGAUGUGGAGGAACACCAGUGGCGAAGGCGACUCUUUGGUCUGUAACUGACGCUGAGGCGCGAAAGCGUGGGGAGCAAACAGGAUUAGAUACCUGGUAGUCCACGCCGUAAACGAUGAGUGCUAA
Molecule: ribosomal RNA, 721 nt
Filed under: bacterium MS-AsIII-04
Lineage: Bacteria
Description: bacterial SSU rRNA
Rfam family: Bacterial small subunit ribosomal RNA
Source: RNAcentral